Non-coding RNA from Parachaetomium inaequale, 116 nucleotides. The record is from the annotation of a GenBank genome assembly. NCBI's taxonomy places the organism in Eukaryota, Fungi, Ascomycota, Sordariomycetes, Sordariales, Chaetomiaceae.
AGUUAUAUAGUAUAGAAGUUAGUAUAUAUACCUAUCGUUCUACUUUACCUUAGGAUAGAAUCCUAGGGUAGAGCAAGGCUAGUAUAAGGUUAUAGGUUCGAAUCCUAUUAUAGCCU